UACAGAGGCCUCGCGCGUUGUUCGGAAUUACUGGGCGUAAAGGGAAUGUAGGUGGUCGGAUAAGUCAGAUGUGAAAGCCCUGGGCUCAACCUGGGAAGUGCAUUUGAUACUGUUCGGCUUGAGUGCGAGAGAGGAAAGCGGAAUUCCUGGUGUAGGGGUGAAAUCCGUAGAUAUCAGGAGGAACACCGGUGGCGAAGGCGGUUCUCUGGGCAUGUCCUGACGCUGAGGAGCGAAAGUGUGGGGAGCGAACAGG
RNAcentral lists this ribosomal RNA (253 nucleotides) under uncultured bacterium. RNAcentral's name for it is "partial 16S ribosomal RNA". It matches the Rfam family "Bacterial small subunit ribosomal RNA", at positions 524 to 776 of the family's 1533-position model. The record is from RNAcentral.